This 384-nucleotide ribosomal RNA is filed under the name uncultured Propionibacterium sp. RNAcentral's name for it is "bacterial SSU rRNA". It matches the Rfam family "Bacterial small subunit ribosomal RNA", at positions 112 to 510 of the family's 1533-position model. The record is from RNAcentral. Lineage: Bacteria; Bacillati; Actinomycetota; Actinomycetes; Propionibacteriales; Propionibacteriaceae.
AACACGUGAAUAACCUGCCCUUGACUUUGGGAUAACUUCAGGAAACUGGGGCUAAUACCGGAUAGGAGCUCCUGCUGCAUGGUGGGGGUUGGAAAGUUUCGGCGGUUGGGGAUGGACUCGCGGCUUAUCAGCUUGUUGGUGGGGUAGUGGCUUACCAAGGCUUUGACGGGUAGCCGGCCUGAGAGGGUGACCGGCCACAUUGGGACUGAGAUACGGCCCAGACUCCUACGGGAGGCAGCAGUGGGGAAUAUUGCACAAUGGGCGGAAGCCUGAUGCAGCAACGCCGCGUGCGGGAUGACGGCCUUCGGGUUGUAAACCGCUUUCGCCUGUGACGAAGCGUGAGUGACGGUAAUGGGUAAAGAAGCACCGGCUAACUACGUGCCA